RNAcentral lists this ribosomal RNA (460 nucleotides) under uncultured bacterium. RNAcentral's name for it is "partial 16S ribosomal RNA". It matches the Rfam family "Bacterial small subunit ribosomal RNA", at positions 338 to 795 of the family's 1533-position model. The record is from RNAcentral.
CCUACGGGGGGCAGCAGUGAGGAAUAUUGGUCAAUGGGCUUACGCCUGAACCAGCCAAGUCGCGUGAGGGAAGACUGCCCUAUGGGUUGUAAACCUCUUUUGUCAGGGAGCAACGCCGGCUACGUGUAGCCGGACUGAGAGUACCUGAAGAAAAAGCAUCGGCUAACUCCGUGCCAGCAGCCGCGGUAAUACGGAGGAUGCGAGCGUUAUCCGGAUUUCUUGGGUUUAAAGGGUGCGUAGGCGGAAUGCCAAGUCAGCGGUAAAAGCGCGGGGCUCAACCUCGCUCCGCCGUUGAAACUGGCGUUCUUGAGUGGGCGAGAAGUAUGCGGAAUGCGUGGUGUAGCGGUGAAAUGCAUAGAGAUCACGCAGAACUCCGAUUGCGAAGGCAGCAUACCGGCGCCCAACUGACGCUGAAGCACGAAAGCGUGGGUAUCGAACAGGAUUAGAUACCCCAGUAGUC